This 773-nucleotide ribosomal RNA is filed under the name uncultured eukaryote. Its description in RNAcentral is "SSU rRNA". It matches the Rfam family "Eukaryotic small subunit ribosomal RNA", at positions 237 to 1017 of the family's 1831-position model. The record is from RNAcentral.
GGUCUUGUGAUGAUUCAUAAUAACUGAGCGGAUCGCGGCCUUGCCGCGACGAAUCGUUCAAGUUUCUGCCCUAUCAGCUUUCGAUGGUAGUGUAUUGGACUACCAUGGCGAUCACGGGUAACGGGGAAUUAGGGUUCGAUUCCGGAGAGGGAGCCUGAGAAAUGGCUACCACAUCUAAGGAAGGCAGCAGGCGCGUAAAUUACCCAAUCCUAAUUCAGGGAGGUAGUGACAAGAAACAACAACUCGGACCUCACAUGAGGUUACGGGAUUGCAAUGAGAACAAUUUAAACCACUUAUCGAGUAACAAUUGGAGGGCAAGUCUGGUGCCAGCAGCCGCGGUAAUUCCAGCUCCAAUAGCGUAUAUUAAAGUUGUUGCAGUUAAAAAGCUCGUAGUUGAAUUUCUGGCCAGCACUGUCCUGGCUCUCUGAGUCGGUUCAGUGUUUGGUCAUCCGUAUGGGAAGCUAACUCGGCCUUCACUGGUCGGUUUAGUGGAUCAUACACUUUACUUUGAAAAAAUUGGAGUGUUUCAGGCAGGCAAUUGCUUGGAUACUUCAGCAUGGAAUAAUGGAAUAGGACUUUGACCUAUUUGUUGGUUUCUUUCGAGGUCAAGGUAAUGAUUAAUAGGGACAGUUGGGGGCACUCGUAUUUAAUUGUCAGAGGUGAAAUUCUUUGGAUUUUAUUAAGACGACCUUAUGCGAAAGCAAUUUGCCAAAGGAUGUUUUCAUUUAAUCAAGAACGAAAGUUAGGGGGAUCAAAGGACGAUCAGGAUACCG